Molecule: long non-coding RNA, 590 nt
Filed under: Coturnix japonica (Japanese quail)
Lineage: Eukaryota; Metazoa; Chordata; Aves; Galliformes; Phasianidae
Description: lncRNA (ENSCJPG00005019768.1)
Source: RNAcentral
AAUAAAUAGUUGAAGGUGGUUGGGUGGCCAGGUAGGGGAUGCAGAUGGACUGCAACCUUGGAGGUACAAAUCAUUUUGUCUACUAGUCUCUGGAGAGAGCUAUUUCAAGAGUAGCACCUGGAAUAGAAGGACAACAUAAUUACUGAACACUGUAAAGCUGACAUCCAUUUCUUUAUUAAAAUGCCAAUAAACUCUUCAUGUCACAGAUGAUGACUCCUGUAUAGGGUGCUAUUUUCAGGUCAUUGGCAGACUCGAAUUUUUUGGACCAACAGUUUUCACAAAUGAGUGGUUUAUUUCAAACGUGUUUGUUGAUACUGUUUGAUAUAGUUCAACUAUGUCUGACAUAAGAAUUAAAGAAAAUAUGUGGCUUUUUUGCCAUCACAAGUCUUACAAUGCUUUUUAAUUGGCAGGGUUUUGCACCUCUGUGUGACAACAACAACACUGUGUCUACAUGAAGAUGAUUUACAAAAGGAUCAGAAAAGGAGUGUGGCAAGUUGCAAGGUGAAAGGAAAAAAUAAAGAAAGAUGGAUGAAAUGUGCAGGAACAUGAUACUGCAGCUUGAAGAACUAUGAACUGAGAGCUUAGUCAAC